This is a non-coding RNA of Lactuca sativa (garden lettuce), 1787 nucleotides long. NCBI's taxonomy places the organism in Eukaryota, Viridiplantae, Streptophyta, Magnoliopsida, Asterales, Asteraceae. The record is from RefSeq and is a predicted model, not a curated record.
CCCCCUGUGUUCUCAUUCGUCUUCUUUUUUUUUUUCCUUAUAAUCUGUCAUUGUACCGUCCCGUUUUGCAUGUGGAUGGUACCGUUUUCGACGCGUGUUCCGUUUUGGACAUGUGUUCUGCUCUGAUGCUUUCAUAACUUACUCUAAUUCAAUCGGGAUGAGUACACCUCCUCAACUACUGCUUUAAUCCUCAUCUCCUCCGAUUUAAUCGACUGAAGCUUAGCGGGCCAAAAAAACCUUUCUGUUCCCAGCAUGGAACCAUUUACACGAUGCUUCGUAGGGUCUAGCUUCUUUGCGCAGCCAAGUUCCACAGCGAAUGGAAAUUAUCGGCUUUCUUCCGGUUGACCGGACCCAAAGUCGAAAUGAAAUAAAUUGAAGACAGACAUCGGCUCUUUAGACUAUAUCUUUUGCGACGACAUGGGAUAGCUUUUUGGUAUAUCGAUUUUGCUUACAGGUUUCAUCGGAGAUAGGAGGUCAGAUAUAGCUAGAUUUUUUAUUCUAUUGGUUUUAGCAUGCAAGGUGUUUGUUGAUAUGCCUCAAAGGGAUGAUAAUCGUACUUCAAAUCUUUUUAUUUUAUCGUUUACCCUUUUCAACGAUCUUUUGGUAGGCUGUUGCAGGUAUUGACUUACAUCAACUUCUAGCUUUUGGUAUUGGAGAAAUUUCCUUAAACUUUGUUGUGAAACAGGUAUGUGUUGCUAUUCUAUCCAACUCAACUCGCCUAGACGUUAAAAAUGAAAAGUAGACACCAUUUUUAUAAUUUCCUCUAUAAGCGAUCAAUACCUCAUAAUAUUUAUCAUUAGUUUUUCUUAUCAUAAAAUUUCUUCAACUAAUUUUUAGGCACUGAAUUUUUUUGGCCAUCUUGGCAUCUUUAAAAAAUAUAAAAAGAAUAAAAAACUUAAUUGUGUUUUUUUCUAAUUUCGGUUUCUAAAUAUAACAAAAACAUUUACACAGGUUUACCAAAUCUGACUUUUGAUUUAUUUGUCUAUUGGAAAAUGGGAAACGAGACCGGAAAGAUAGAAAAAGUGGUAGGUCACUAAUGUAGACAUUUGCACUAUGUGCAAUUUAUCUCUUAAUAAGAUCUCAAAACUGAGAAACAAAUACCGGUAGAAAAGGCACCAUUUUCAUUUGGGAUCACAAUUCAUCCAUAUUAAAAACAAAUAUUUAUAAAAAAUGGUCGAUUGCAAUUUUUAUUCAACUUCUGUUCCAUGUUUUUUCUGACCAAUUGAUAUGCAAUUUUUUUCAUUAAGAUCUGUCACUGUUGGUUUUUAUACAAUUUUUUCAUCAUCUGUUAUGACUUCUCCAUUUUUCGCAUCUUCAUUAUUAUAUGAGUUCAUAGUUCCAGUUUUGAGGUUGAUUGUUUUUUCAAUGAUAUGUUUCUUCACAUCUUGAAACACCGAUAUUCAAGACAACUUUAGAAAUGAUGAAAUCCAUCAUAUAUGGGUUUUAGCGGUUUUUUGACGAAAUUGACUCAAUUCAAUUCCGUCAAUUGAGCAACCAAACAGAUCAUUAAAUGGAAUCUCACAUUUGAAUAUCAUUGCAUUCCGCCAGAAUCGGUGAAUAAAACAGUAUCCUUACACCAUAUUUGUUGUGUAUCCCAGGAGAAUCUAACGGAAUUGGAAUCUAGGAUUCCAUUCCAUUUUGUUUUUGUCUACUAGAUUUAUCUAGAUUUUUGUUGAUACAUACGUGUUUUACCUCAUGGAUUCCAACAUAAUCCAAUGUAAUUGGAAUCCAACAUUCUAUUGCAUUAUAUGUUUGAUAGCCAAAAUGUAUACAAUUCAAUUUUCACA